RNAcentral lists this ribosomal RNA (512 nucleotides) under uncultured bacterium. RNAcentral describes it as "bacterial SSU rRNA". It matches the Rfam family "Bacterial small subunit ribosomal RNA", at positions 15 to 518 of the family's 1533-position model. The record is from RNAcentral.
GAUCAUGGCUCAGAACGAACGCUGGCGGCGCGUUUAAGCAUGCAAGUCGAGCGGCAAGGGCCUUCGGGCCCCUAGAGCGGCGGACGGGUGAGUAACACGUGGACAAUCUGCCCCCCGGCCCGGGAUAGCCCAGGGAAACCUGGAUUAAUACCGGAUGAGACGGGACCCGCGAUGGCGGGACCCGGGAAAGGCGCUGCGGCGCCGCCGGGGGAUGAGUCUGCGUCCCAUUAGCUAGACGGCGGGGUAACGGCCCACCGUGGCGACGAUGGGUAGCCGGCCUGAGAGGGUGGACGGCCACAUUGGAACUGAGACACGGUCCAGACUCCUACGGGAGGCAGCAGCUAAGAAUCUUCCGCAGUGGGCGAAAGCCUGACGGAGCGACGCCGCGUGAACGAAGAAGGCCGUGAGGUUGUAAAGUUCUUUUCGGGAGGGGGAACAACCGUGGCAGGGAAUGGCCGCGGGAUGACGUGAAUCCCGGAAUAAGCCCCGGCUAACUACGUGCCAGCAGCAGC